Non-coding RNA from Pelobates cultripes (western spadefoot toad), 1156 nucleotides. The record is from the annotation of a GenBank genome assembly. Lineage: Eukaryota; Metazoa; Chordata; Amphibia; Anura; Pelobatidae.
GUAGCUCAGACCACUUUGAAAAGGUAAUUUUACUAACCUUUUCUUCCAUGCCACGCUGAUCUUGCUGCGUCUGGCUCCGCCUUCAAGGCUGAGGUCCUCAAUUUUGAUGAUCUCACCCAUAGGUGUGCGCACGGGGUGUGCCAGGUGUGCCUGGGCACACCCUAAUCCCCGCGAUACACCUAUGGAUUGAGAGCGGCAGGGGAGAUCUCAGGAUCUCCCCUGUUGGCUCAUGCAGAGCCGGCGCUAUUUGAGCGCCGGCUCUGCUCUAAGCCUCCAUGGGCCGGUGGGGAGAUCAAAGAUCUACCUCACCGGCCGUGUUCCUCUUGCGAGAGCUGAGUGUUGCCACGGCAAGUCUCAGAUCUCGCGAGAGUGAACUCAAUCCCCACAGGCUAGAGUUCACUCUCCUCUGGACCACCAGGGAUGGUACAUAGCAGCAAGAAUCUCCCCUCCCUACAUAAGGUAAGAAGGGAGGGGGGAUAUUUACUAAUCUGCCCCCACCUCCACCCCCACAAUCCUUCCAAAUAUACAGCACACACACAUACAGCACCCUCACACAAACAGCACCCAUACACACACAGCACCCACACACAUACAGUACACAAACAGCACCUAUACACACACAGCACCCUCACACACAGUACACUAACAGCACCCUCACAAACACACAGACAGCACCCUUACAAACACACAGCACCCUCACACACAGCACACUAACAGCACCCUCACAUACACACACACAACACCCUUACACACACAGCACACAAACAGCACCUUCACACACAGCACUAACAGCACCCUCACAAACACACAACACCCAUACACAUCACACAAACAGCACCCUCACACACACAGCAUCCUCACACAGCACACUAACAGGACCCUAACAAACACACACACACACAAACACCCUCACACACACAGAGCACCCUCACACACAUCACACAAACGGCACCCUCACACAUACAGCAUCCUCACACAGCACACUAACAGGACCCUAACAAACACACACACACAAACACCCUCUCUCACACACACACAGCACCCUUACACACACAUCACACUAACAGCACCCUCACACACAGCACCCUUACAUACACAGCACCCUCACAAGACCCUCACACAGCACACUCACAGCACACACACACAGCAGUGUAUG